CCAGGGUAUCACCUUUGAAUGGAAUGACUGACUGGGAUGUUGAGGGGAAGGAAGUUCCCAGAAAGAUCAGAUGACUGUAUGACCGACUGGAAGCUGUGGCUUGCUGCCUUGCCCAUCAGGAGAGAGUAUCAUACUAUGAAUCUCUAGGCUGGAAAAGAUCACAAUUCAAAAUUCAAGAAUCAGAGACCAGUUUGAUGUCCAGGUGGCACGUGAAUAGUUGCGUUGAGCCCUAGUACACACCUGUCAGAUGCACAGAUGGGAGCAGCUGAAAGAACCUGUGGCCCAGAGGAAUGAGCAACAAUCCCAGAGCUAGUCUUUGUUCUACCCCUGCUUCCUCAGGGCUUUGGACAAGUCUCUUA
Molecule: long non-coding RNA, 359 nt
Organism: Capra hircus (goat)
Lineage: Eukaryota; Metazoa; Chordata; Mammalia; Artiodactyla; Bovidae
Exons: 3
Source: RefSeq, a predicted model, not a curated record